AUUCUGCCCAUGCGGGGAAGGAUGAGAAGCUUCGACCAAGGUUCGACUCGAGCGCCAGCGAGAGAGCGUGGCCGCAGGCAACGACCCGAAGGGCGAAGCGCGCAGCGCUGAG
RNAcentral lists this small RNA (112 nucleotides) under Escherichia coli. Its description in RNAcentral is "partial RtT sRNA". It matches the Rfam family "RtT RNA", at positions 1 to 110 of the family's 130-position model. Rfam says of the family: This family represents a bacterial cis-regulatory element known as RtT RNA. The exact function of RtT is unknown although it is thought that it may be involved in changing the cellular response in relation to amino acid starvation. Lineage: Bacteria; Pseudomonadati; Pseudomonadota; Gammaproteobacteria; Enterobacterales; Enterobacteriaceae. The record is from RNAcentral.